This 253-nucleotide ribosomal RNA is filed under the name uncultured bacterium. Its description in RNAcentral is "partial 16S ribosomal RNA". It matches the Rfam family "Bacterial small subunit ribosomal RNA", at positions 524 to 776 of the family's 1533-position model. The record is from RNAcentral.
UACGGAGGGUGCAAGCGUUGUUCGGAAUCACUGGGCGUAAAGAGCGCGCAGGCGGCUGGUCAAGUCCGAUGUGAAAUCUCCCGGCUCAACUGGGAAACUGCAUCGGAAACUGAUCGGCUUGAAGAUGGGAGAGGGUAGUGGAAUUCCCGGUGUAGUGGUGAAAUGCGUAGAUAUCGGGAGGAACACCAGUGGCGAAGGCGACUACCUGGCCCAUUCUUGACGCUGAGGCGCGAAAGCUAGGGGAGCGAACGGG